This is a long non-coding RNA of Folsomia candida, 1951 nucleotides long. RefSeq lists it as uncharacterized. The record is from RefSeq and is a predicted model, not a curated record. Lineage: Eukaryota; Metazoa; Arthropoda; Collembola; Entomobryomorpha; Isotomidae. The transcript has 3 exons.
AAUUAAGGCAUGAAUUCGUCAAAACCAUGUCCUAACGCCUUUUGUAUAGUAUUUUUUUAAUUUAUAAAGUUUUUUAAAAUGUUUCAAGGCGAUCUUAAUUACACCUCUGGAAAAAUCGAGUACUUAUGGACAACGAAGUACUUUAUGAGCAAAAGAAGUGUGUCUGUAAAAAUCACUUAUUAUAUUCCUGAUCAUAAUACAUACGUACUUUCGUUGUUCCAUAAGUUUCAUUGUUCCAUAAGUACUCGAUUUUUUCCAGAAUUGAUAAUACACGUUAAGAUCGCAUUGAAAUAUUAAAUUUUUAAAAGUUUAAACAACUUGGAUUUCAUUAUGAUGAGAGGAAGCAUUCGAGAAAAAGGUAAUAUAUGUAAUUAAUUAUGGUCACAUAAAGUAUUAGAUUAUGAUCAGUUAAAUAGGACCAUUUCGAAACGGAUAAAAAUUCUAACAUGGACAAGGAGGAUUUGCAUAUUAACUGAAAUUGGAUUGCAAUAGUAGUGAAAAUUGUUGUUCAAUGUAUUGCUUAUGUAAAACCUAAUAAAACCCAAUAAAACCCAUAAAACCCAUUAAAACCCAAAAAACCCGUUAAAACCCAUUAAAACCCCUGGGUCGUUACUUUUUGAUUAAAACCCUGGGUUUUUCCGAACCCUGAACCACUCGUUUUUUUCUCUUCUUCCAAACAACACAAGUUCUUGUAAAGCUUGACAAACAGAAUUAUCUAACCACUCACUCUUAAAAAAACUGGUAUUAAAUCAUUACUGACCGGAGUACUACCGGCACGGUAAUAACAAUAACCGGCAUUACCUUUUAGUAAUGUUAUAUAUGAUGGUAAUGAAAAAUUUACCACUCAGAAGCAAACAAAUUACUACCAAUCCGGUAAAAAGUUAUUACCAAAUCAAUGACACUACCAGAUUUUUAACAGUGUGUAUCUACAAUAAGGUCAAUCCUGACGAAAAUGCAGAACAAAUAAUAAUAUUGUCAAAAAUUGUCUAACGUGGUGGAGGGAGGAGGAAUGCGACACUGUUAAUAAUCAUGUCAUAAUUUAAGAUAACAUCUUAUCUCCAGGGGUUUGUAGUAAGUGUAAUCACGUGAAAAGUGUGGGUAUAAUGGGAGCACACGUACUUCAAAUUAUUAUUAAUUGUACACGUAUGCAUGCAUUUAUUUGUGUACAUUGAGUUGCACAUUUAUGUACCAACUGCAUCUGCAUGCAUACCUGGAAAUGUGCAUGGUUUACAAAGUUGACUUGACUGUAGUGUUUCGUUUUGCAUGUACAAAACUAAUUCUUGACUGGACACUGUCCAAAAGCGGGCAAAACUAUGCAAAUAAUUUUGGACAUCCAAAAUGCCCAUAAGCGUCCAAAAUAUCAGACAAGGUCCAAAAUAUCAAAAAGCGAUCAACAACGACUGCCUCGGGGUGGACCACAUGCCAAGCAGUCUAAAAUUGUAGCGGCGACACGGCGGAGUUCAAUCUUUUGCGAUGAAGACGACCGAUAAAUGCCGGGUUGAAGGGAACUUUGCGGAAUAUCUCGUGCAAUUACUCCCCUCCGUGAAGAAACUUGAAAUUCGGGCAGUGUGGCAACGAGGCGAUUGAACCGUUCAAACUGUGGGAUCUGGACGAGGUCAAGCUGGUCGUGCGGCAUGAGCACGUGGCCGCCGGGGUGGUCAGCGUCCUCAAGGAAUGUAGUGGUUUGGAAAGGCGUCAAAACCGUCCAUUUCCAGUGCACUGAGAUCAGAGAAAACGACUUUUCUGACAGUAUUCAAGAUGUCAUUUUGUUCGUAGAGGAUUUAAACGCAUGGAAAUCUCGGGAGUUGUGAUCCCGGAAACUGUUGAAGUCAUGUUUUUGAAGCUGGUGGGACACCUGUACAUUUUCUGGGAGGUGUGUAUCACAAUUAAAUUAGUGGCAUGUGAGAAACUAGGUGAUAAGUAAUUAGUGCGGUUUUUACUGUUUUACUGG